UGCGGGAUCGGCUAAUGGUAGGCCAAUAGACUCUGAAUCUAUUAAUCUUGGUUCGAAUCCAAGUCCCGCAGCCC
Molecule: transfer RNA, 74 nt
Filed under: Candidatus Tayloriibacteriota bacterium
Lineage: Bacteria; Candidatus Tayloriibacteriota
Description: tRNA-Gln
Rfam family: tRNA
About the family: Transfer RNA (tRNA) molecules are approximately 80 nucleotides in length.
Source: RNAcentral